CAGUAGCCGCGGUAAUACAGAGGGUGCAAGCGUUAAUCGGAAUUACUGGGCGUAAAGCGCGCGUAGGUGGUUUGUUAAGUUGGAUGUGAAAUCCCCGGGCUCAACCUGGGAACUGCAUCCCAAACUGGCAAGCUAGAGUAUGGUAGAGGGUGGUGGAAUUUCCUGUGUAGCGGUGAAAUGCGUAGAUAUAGGAAGGAACACCAGUGGCGAAGGCGACCACCUGGACUGAUACUGACACUGAGGUGCGAAAGCGUGGGGAGCAAACAGGAUUAGAUACCCCAGUAGUCCCUGUCUCUUAUAC
RNAcentral lists this ribosomal RNA (301 nucleotides) under uncultured bacterium. RNAcentral describes it as "partial 16S ribosomal RNA". It matches the Rfam family "Bacterial small subunit ribosomal RNA", at positions 509 to 807 of the family's 1533-position model. The record is from RNAcentral.